GACGAACGCUGGCGGCGUGCCUAAUACAUGCAAGUAGAACGCUGAAGGAGGAGCUUGCUUCUCUGGAUGAGUUGCGAACGGGUGAGUAACGCGUAGGUAACCUGCCUCGUAGCGGGGGAUAACUAUUGGAAACGAUAGCUAAUACCGCAUAAUAGUAGAUGUCGCAUGACAUUUGCUUAAAAGGUGCAAUUGCAUCACUACCAGAUGGACCUGCGUUGUAUUAGCUAGUUGGUGAGGUAACGGCUCACCAAGGCAACGAUACAUAGCCGACCUGAGAGGGUGAUCGGCCACACUGGGACUGAGACACGGCCCAGACUCCUACGGGAGGCAGCAGGAGGGAAUCUUCGGCAAUAGACGGAAGGCUGACCGAGCAAAGCCGCGGGAGUGAAGAAGGGUGUCGGAUCGGAAAGCUCUGUUGUAAGAGAAGAAAGAGUGUGAGAGUGGAAAGUUCACACUGUGACGGUAUCUUAACAGAAAGGGACGGCUAACUACGUG
RNAcentral lists this ribosomal RNA (495 nucleotides) under uncultured bacterium. RNAcentral's name for it is "partial 16S ribosomal RNA". It matches the Rfam family "Bacterial small subunit ribosomal RNA", at positions 28 to 507 of the family's 1533-position model. The record is from RNAcentral.